RNAcentral lists this ribosomal RNA (235 nucleotides) under uncultured bacterium. Its description in RNAcentral is "partial 16S ribosomal RNA". It matches the Rfam family "Bacterial small subunit ribosomal RNA", at positions 355 to 607 of the family's 1533-position model. The record is from RNAcentral.
UGGGGAAUAUUGGACAAUGGGGGCAACCCUGAUCCAGCAAUGCCGCGUGUGUGAAGAAGGUUUUCGGAUUGUAAAGCACUUUCGGCGGGGACGAUGAUGACGGUACCCGCAGAAGAAGCCCCGGCUAACUUCGUGCCAGCAGCCGCGGUAAUACGAAGGGGGCUAGCGUUGCUCGGAAUGACUGGGCGUAAAGGGCGUGUAGGCGGUUUGUACAGUCAGAUGUGAAAUCCCCGGG